UGCAUAUCAAUAAGCGGAGGAAUAAGAAACUAACAAGGAUUCCCCUAGUAGCGGCGAGCGAAGCGGGAAGAGCUCAAAUUUAUAAUCUGGCACCUUCGGUGUCCGAGUUGUAAUCUCUAGAAGUGUUUUCCGCGUUGGACCGCACACAAGUCUGUUGGAAUACAGCGGCAUAGUGGUGAAACCCCCGUAUAUGGUGCGGACGCCCAGCGCUUUGUGAUACACUUUCAAUGAGUCGAGUUGUUUGGGAAUGCAGCUCAAAUUGGGUGGUAAAUUCCAUCUAAAGCUAAAUAUUGGCGAGAGACCGAUAGCGAACAAGUACCGUGAGGGAAAGAUGAAAAGCACUUUGGAAAGAGAGUUAACAGUACGUGAAAUUGUUGGAAGGGAAACGCUUGAAGUCAGACUUGCUUGCCGGAGCUUGCUUCGGUUUGCAGGCCAGCAUCAGUUUUCCGGGGUGGAUAAUGACGGUUUGAAGGUAGCAGUCUCGGCUGUGUUAUAGCUUUCCGUUGGAUACAUCCUGGGGGACUGAGGAACGCAGCGUGCUUUUUGCGAAAGACUC
RNAcentral lists this ribosomal RNA (556 nucleotides) under Rhodotorula sp. RNAcentral's name for it is "partial large subunit ribosomal RNA". It matches the Rfam family "Eukaryotic large subunit ribosomal RNA", at positions 37 to 595 of the family's 3401-position model. The record is from RNAcentral. Lineage: Eukaryota; Fungi; Basidiomycota; Microbotryomycetes; Sporidiobolales; Sporidiobolaceae.